Molecule: long non-coding RNA, 369 nt
Organism: Homo sapiens (human)
Lineage: Eukaryota; Metazoa; Chordata; Mammalia; Primates; Hominidae
Source: Ensembl
CCCGGCCUAGAGAGACGCGAUCGGGCGCGGAGAGGACGCAACAACACUAAUUAAUUGGUUACUAACGGCGAGGAACAGAGUUGCCCGAGGCUCGCAGUGAGUCAGGCGUCUGUGACUCCCAGGCCUGUGCGCGCGACCCUCCCCGUCCAACCAACGUCCUCCCACAAACGGGUCACCGGACUGAGGGUUUCAAGUUCCUCCAGGGGGUGUGUGCGGUUCCCCCUAACUCAGGCCCUACUCCUUCCAGCAGCAUUUUCUCUUCUUUCCUCUUUUUAUUUAUUUCAGAAACAGGGUCUUGAGACGGGCGCGGUGACUCACGCCUGUAAUCCCAGCACUUUGGGAGGCCGAGGCGGGCGGAUCACCUGAGGU